This is a long non-coding RNA of Gallus gallus (chicken), 3261 nucleotides long. RefSeq lists it as uncharacterized. Lineage: Eukaryota; Metazoa; Chordata; Aves; Galliformes; Phasianidae. The record is from RefSeq and is a predicted model, not a curated record. The transcript has 3 exons.
GCACUGCGCGAGGGGAGAGGAGGGCGAUUACGGCAAAUCGCAGCCCGUCACCCAGCGCGGAGCCAGCCCCGCCGCACGCUCUCCGCUACCCCGCGUAACUGCGGGCAAUCUGACCUCGGCUGCAGGUCCCCUCCGCCGGCCGUGACCUCCUUUCUCUGCCCGUGUGCGCGUCUGCAGAGCGGUUCCUGCGGAAUGUGCUGCCCCUGAAACGCGAUCGCGGCUCCUCUCUCUCUCUCGCUCGCCCGCUCCCGCUCCGUCUCUCGCUCGCUCGCUCUCUCUCCUGGCCGCAACCAGAGCCAGAACACAACAACAACACGGCCUCCCCCACCCCCUUCCCCAAACACACGCCGAAGAGCCCCAGACGAGCCGGGAGGGGGUGGAGGGAAUCCCCCGGCAGCGGAUGGAUGGCACCGGUUACCUUCCGCGAGCCUCUUCGCGAGAGGGGGCAAAAAGCAGACGAAUACCGAGAGAAUACCUUGUGCCUCCCCCUCCUCCUCGGCGGGCGCCUCUUCGCACUCCCGGCGCUAAAGGUGGACGGCCGGAUCGGCUCCGGCGGGGGAGGGGAGCCGCGCCGGCAAUUAGCGCCGAGGAAUUAACGCCGAGCCCGGCCCGAGCCCCGGCCUCCCGGUGCGGGCGGGCGCGGAUCGCGAGCGCUGGUGCUGAGACACAGGACCUGAUAACAGCUAAUUGAAAGGUUAAUCUACAUAGGCUGUGACAGAAGAGGUCCCUCCCCACUUUUUUAUCUGCUGUUGGCAAGUGGGAAAUUGAGAGCUCCCCCCACCUUUUUCCCUCAAAAAAAAAAAAAAAAGAAAAAAAGAAAAAAAAAAAGAAAAAAAAAGAGCAAGGGGGGAAAGGAGGCGAUAAAGUUUGGGGGAGGCGCGGCCCCGCGGCCGCCGUUGGGGCUGAGGAGGGGGCGCGCAGGGCGGGAAGGCCGCGGAGCCAUGGAGCCACGCUGCCGAAGGGCGCGCAACCAACGCGGUAAAGUUUUAAUCCCCGAGGUGGUUUUGUCAGUCAUGGUUCGCAAACACCUCUUUUCGCUCAAGUGACCAGACAUCAUGGGCUGUGGUACCAGGCAAGGGAGGAGUAGGCGGUCCUGCCCACCUGGGCAGCUCCUCCAGUUAGCGCCAACCCUGAGCCCCAUUCCUGAGGUAACAUCCUUUGCCAUGUGUUUGGGUGUCCCUCUGCCAAGCUUUACGGGAUUAACGUCUGGUCCUGAGAAGGAAAGAUAAAGGAAACCAUUUAUAAAUAAUAAUAAUAAUAAUAAUUGUGUACACAGAGGGGAAAAAAAAAAAGAAAUGAGAGUGGGCAGCAAAUGAGCUCCUACAAUAAAUCAACAAGGUCUUUCCUAGAUCAUGUAUUGCACGUAGACCAGUAACGGGAAAAAAAUGUUUCCAUAAUAAUACAUUAGCCGUUUAGGUUUAGUGCAACUUUUUCAGUCCAUUCCUGUGGAUGCUGAAUAAGGAAGCUCCUUGGUGGUGUUUCAGAGCGCUGUAAAAUUGAAUGACCUACUUACAGACAUCACCAGGUGAAAAUGUUUUUCCAGCACAUAGCUGUGAUACGUACCUGUUGACUGAAGGUCUGGUCUUUUAGUGGCCAGAUGCAGCCUUUUAAAUGUAGAGCAGCGAACCGAAAUGUGCAGUAACCUAAUAUUUAUUGGAAAAUCCUUCAAAGUUCAUGUAUUAUGCAGGAUUUGGCUGUGAUUGAAAAUGGUUUUAAAAUUAUUGGAAACAAUGUAAAUCAUUACAGCAUAAUUUGUAGCAACAGUAUUCUGAAUGUUGUGUCAACAUUUCCAUUAUAGACCUUUUUUUUUUUUUUUCCUGGGAAAUUUACAACUUGGUUAGUGGUAAGAGAGAAAAAUAAUCUCCUGAAACUGAAACUUGGCGUGGUGCAUCCCAGUUCAGGAAACAAAACACUGGAGAAAGCUUGACAAUCUGUUUGGCCACUUUUAAAUUAUGAGUGCUCUGAAGAAUAGCACAGAAAAAAAAACCCAUAGAAGUCUUUAUUUUAAAUACACAUAUUUGUUCCUCUUAAUUAUUUUUACAAACAUAAACUUGAGAAGACAAUGUAUCCUUAGGUAUUGAGUUCCAGGUUUUAAUGUAUUCAAGAAUCUUUUGUUUGAAGAUGAAGUCCUAUGGAUCUCGACAUUUACAGGUGUAGCUAACACUAUGUAAAGCACAUGAACUUCUUUAUGGAUUAAUCAUUCACUGAUGAAGUUAGAUCUGCCAUCAUUGUCAAUUUUACUCUUUCCCAAGAAACAGUAGUGCUGUUUCAAAAGAAUUGCAACAUGUGAAUUUAGGGCAGUUCAGUUUGAAAAACAAUUGGUAGUCUGAAACAAUGUGUGUUGCACAGACAAAUCAUACGUGCCAGAAACACUUUGGAGCUAACCAAGAAUGUCUAGUAUGUUGGGCGCGUUUUGCUUUGUGAUCUAGAUAAGAAAUAUCUCGCUUUUCUUGUGUGUAAACACAAUAAUUCUUAUUUAAAACUGAAGCUACAUUAAAAAUAACCACUGAAAAGUUAUAAGCCCAUCAAGGAAGUCAGUGUAAGCAAUUCAAUUCAAAUAAGCAAACUAAGCAAAUAAAACUUGAAUAUGUCUACUACUGCAGAACUCUGGGGCAUCUGUUCUCCUGCAUAUGCUAUAGAGCUAAUGAGGUACAACAACAGGUAAUGCCCCCAGACAGUAACAAGUGUCUGGACGCCUACACAUCAAGUAUACCCAUGCCAUCUUCUAAAAAAUGUCCCUAUUACUAAAAGUAAAAAAAUACAAUGCUCUCUAAACCCAAAUACACUCCCAUCUGCUUUUAGAAGGAAGUUUUAUGGGUCAGUUCACCCUGUUCUGUUAAUUUCCUUGCUUCAGUUACAGUGUAAACACCCUUAAUGUUUUUUUUUUUUUUUUUUCCCUUUGGAAAAAUAUGUUUGGUUGCACAUCUGUAUUGAAGUACACAUAGUAACUAUAUCCUUACUUCCAACUGUCCUUAGGAUGUUUCCAAAACCUCACGUGCAGUGGCUGUUUUUGAAUCAGAAGAAAGGAAGAAGCUAAGGGAGUGGCAGCCGGCAAGAGUCCUGUAAGAAGGCCCACUUCCAUGGCGCUUUACUUGAAAGAUGAAUAUUCACAGCUAUGGCUUGGAAGGGAAGAGGCAGCCAAAAGGAAUCAUUAAGCUGAGCUAAAUGAGCAGAACUGAGAGGCAAGAUGUGUCUCCCUUCUCCAUCCAAUCACUGAAGGAAAGUGAGAUUUGCGUAGGAAAAUCUGAGCUGAAACAUAUU